AAAUAGAUACCCGGUAGUUCACGCCGUAAACGUUGGGNACUAGGUGUGGGGGAUUAUCAACGUCCUCCGUNCCGUAGCUAACGCAUUAAGUAGCCCCGCCUGGGGAGUACGGCCGCAAGGCUAAAACUCAAAGGAAUUGACGGGGGCCCGCACAAGCGGCGGAGCAUGUUGCUUAAUUCGAUGCAACGCGAAGAACCUUACCUGGGUUUGACAUGUAGGGAAAAGCCGUAGAGAUACGGUGUCCUUCGGGGUCCUACACAGGUGGUGUCAUGGCUGUCGUACAGCUCGUGUCGUGAGAUGUUGGGUUAAGUCCCGCAACGAGCGCAACCCUUGUCCUAUGUUGCCAGCGGGUAACUGCCGGGGUACUCGUAGGACGAACGUAGCCGGGGUCAACGUCGGAGGAAGGUGGGGAUGACGUCAAGUCUUCAU
RNAcentral lists this ribosomal RNA (429 nucleotides) under uncultured bacterium. RNAcentral describes it as "bacterial SSU rRNA". It matches the Rfam family "Bacterial small subunit ribosomal RNA", at positions 776 to 1196 of the family's 1533-position model. The record is from RNAcentral.